GGAGCCACACGUUAAAUGUUCGACUCGUCGCAGUCGGGGUUUAACAACUGCACAGUUUGAAUAGCUUUGCGAUUCUUUGCGAGUGGCACUUUCCUUUACACUAUUGGAGAUGCAGAAUACCUGGGUAAAAAUGCUGUAUGUCGUGCCACUCGCAAAGUUUAUCUGUCACUCAAACAGUUUUUAGGGGGCUUUGUGGUAUUUCCAUGCCACUUAAGACCACAGGCUGUGAAGCAGAUUUUUUUUGCCAUUGCAGGUACAUUAUAAUUGUUAAUGAAGAUCAUGGAAUCAUGAUCAUGCCAAAAAGUAGCCUAGGACUUACAGUAUUUGUUCCUCAGGCUUCCCUAAUGUUAUUUGUGCCAUAGACUGCACACAGGUCCCCAUCAAGGCCCCACCUGGCCCAAAUGAAGGGGAUUUUUUGAACAGAAAGGGAUUUCACAGUGUAAAUGUGCAAGUAAAUUACUAUAACAAUUAUUCAUAUUCCAGAUAAGCAAUAAAUAAAUAAAAGUAACGUAAUCAAAAAGUAUGCAGACUGAUUUCAAAUAUUUUAGAUGGUGUGCGACUCCAUGUUCCACAUCACAAAUGUGGAAGCCACAUGGCCUGGUUCUGUGGGUGACUCCAAGAUUUUCAGAGAGUCACAUUUAUGCACAUUAUUUGAACGUGGUGCUGACGAUGGGAUCCUGUUUGGCGACAGGGGCUAUGCCUUCAGGCAGGCAGUACUUCAUGACACCAUUCCCUGGACCACAAACCCGUUACAAUGCAGCUCUAGCCAGGACAAGGCCACGCAUUGAAAUGACCUUUGGCCAACUAAAGGAAGAUUUCAGUGUCUUAAGGGUCUGAGGGUUGCACCUGGAGAGGACCCCUGUGGUGGAGGUGCAGCCUGAUGAUGACCUCCAGCCAGUGCACUUGGACCAAUAGUGGCAGAGCUGCACAGGACAGUAUUGUGGAACACGAUUUUAUGAAUUCUUUUUUUUACACAUAAACUUUCAUUAAAUGAAUAAUAGAAGACAACA
Triplophysa dalaica is the source of this 1010-nucleotide long non-coding RNA. RefSeq lists it as uncharacterized. Lineage: Eukaryota; Metazoa; Chordata; Actinopteri; Cypriniformes; Nemacheilidae. The transcript has 2 exons. The record is from RefSeq and is a predicted model, not a curated record.